AGAAUCAACGCUGGCGGCGUGCCUAACACAUGCAAGUCGAACGAGAAAGUGGAGCAAUCCAUGAGUAAAGUGGCGCACGGGUGAGUAACACGUGACUAACCUACCCUUGAGUGGGGAAUAACUUCGGGAAACCGAGGCUAAUACCGCAUAACACCUACGGGUCAAAGGAGCAAUUCGCUUAAGGAGGGGGUCGCGGCAGAUUAGUUAGUUGGCAGGGUAAUGGCCUACCAAGACGGUGAUCUGUA
Molecule: ribosomal RNA, 245 nt
Filed under: uncultured bacterium
Lineage: Bacteria
Description: partial small subunit ribosomal RNA
Rfam family: Bacterial small subunit ribosomal RNA
Source: RNAcentral